CAGGACGAACGCUGGCGGCGUGCCUAAUACAUGCAAGUCGAACGCACUGACGUCGACAGAAGGUGCUUGCACUGGAAGUUGAUUGACGUGAGUGGCGGACGGGUGAGUAACACGUGGGUAACCUGCCCUUAAGCGGGGGAUAACAUUUGGAAACAGAUGCUAAUACCGCAUAAAAGUUGAGAUCACAUGGUCUUAAUUUGAAAGACGGCCUUUGGCUGUCACUUAAGGAUGGACCCGCGGCGUAUUAGCUAGUUGGUGAGAUAAUAGCCCACCAAGGCGAUGAUACGUAGCCGACCUGAGAGGGUAAUCGGCCACAUUGGGACUGAGACACGGCCCAAACUCCUACGGGAGGCAGCAGUAGGGAAUCUUCCACAAUGGACGAAAGUCUGAUGGAGCAACGCCGCGUGAGUGAAGAAGGUUUUCGGAUCGUAAAACUCUGUUGUUGGAGAAGAACAGGGACUAGAGUAACUGUUAGUCCUUUGACGGUAUCCAACCAGAAAGCCACGGCUAACCACGUGCCAGCAGCCGCGGUAAUACGUAGGUGGCAAGCGUUGUCCGGAUUUAUUGGGCGUAAAGCGAGCGCAGGCGGUUUCUUAAGUCUGAUGUGAAAGCCUUCGGCUUAACCGAAGAAGUGCAUCAGAUACUGGGAAACUUGAGUGCAGAAGAGGAAAGUGGAACUCCAUGUGUAGCGGUGAAAUGCGUAGAUAUAUGGAAGAACACCAGUGGCGAAGGCGGCUUUCUGGUCUGUAACUGACGCUGAGGCUCGAAAGUAUGGGGAGCGAACAGGAUUAGAUACCCUGGUAGUCCAUACCGUAAACGAUGAAUGCUAAGUGUUGGAGGGUUUCCGCCCUUCAGUGCUGCAGCUAACGCAUUAAGCAUUCCGCCUGGGGAGUACGACCGCAAGGUUGAAACUCAAAGGAAUUGACGGGGGCCCGCACAAGCGGUGGAGCAUGUGGUUUAAUUCGAAGCUACGCGAAGAACCUUACCAGGUCUUGACACCUAGCGCCAAUCCUAGAGAUAGGACGUUCCCUUCGGGGACGCUAAGACAGGUGGUGCAUGGUUGUCGUCAGCUCGUGUCGUGAGAUGUUGGGUUAAGUCCCGCAACGAGCGCAACCCUUAUGAUUAGUUGCCAGC
Molecule: ribosomal RNA, 1134 nt
Filed under: uncultured bacterium
Lineage: Bacteria
Description: bacterial SSU rRNA
Rfam family: Bacterial small subunit ribosomal RNA
Source: RNAcentral